AAGAGAGAAUGCCGGAAUGAGUAGCGAGAGGAAGGUGAGAAUCCUUCCGGCCGAAUAUCUAAGGUUUCCAGAGUAAAGCUGAUCUGCUCUGGGUAAGUCGGGGCCUAAGGCCAGGUCGAAAGACGUAACCGAUGGACAACAGGUUGAAAUUCCUGUACCUUAAGUAAACAGAACUGUGGGGACACGUGUGGAGAGCACAAGCCGGAAAUGGAAAAGCCGGUGCAAGCGAGGUAGGAGAUGAACAGGCAAAUCCGUUCAUCAAUCCGAAGACGUGAUGCGGACCGAAUUAAGAGUAGGGAAGUGUGUGAGCCAUGCGUCAAGAAAAGCCGCUAUUGUUUUACUUAAGCCCGUACCGUAAACCGACACAGGUGGAUGAGGAGAGAAUCCUAAGGCCGACGGGAGAAGCAUUGUUAAGGAACUCGGCAAAAUGACUCCGUAACUUCGGGAGAAGGAGUGCCAGCGAGAGCUGGCCGCAGAGAAUUGGCCCAAGCAACUGUUUAGCAAAAACACAGGUCUAUGCAAAACCGUAAGGUGAAGUAUAUGGGCUGACGCCUGCCCGGUGCUGGAAGGUUAAGAGGAGAGGUUAGCGGCAACGCGAAGCUUUGAAUUUAAGCCCCAGUAAACGGCGGCCGUAACUAUAACGGUCCUAAGGUAGCGAAAUUCCUUGUCGGGUAAGUUCCGACCCGCACGAAAGGCGUAAUGAUUUGGGCACUGUCUCAACAAUGCACCCGGUGAAAUUGAAAUACCAGUGAAGAUGCUGGUUACCUGCGCCAGGACGGAAAGACCCCAUGGAGCUUUACUCCAGCUUGAUACUGGGAUUCGGUAUUGCAUGUACAGGAUAGGUGGGAGGCUAGGAAGUGAUAACGCCAGUUGUCACGGAGCCGCUGUUGGGAUACCACCCUUGCAGUAUUGGAUUUCUAACCAGCGACCAUGAACUGGUCGGGGGACAAUGUCAGGUGGGGAGUUUGACUGGGGCGGUCGCCUCCGAAAGGGUAUCGGAGGCGCUCAAAGGUUCCCUCAGAAUGGACGGAAACCAUUCGAAGAGUGCAAAGGCAGAAGGGAGCUUGACUGCGACACCGACGGGUGGAGCAGGUACGAAAGUAGGACUUAGUGAUCCGGUGGUAUAAAGUGGGAUUGCCAUCGCUCAACGGAUAAAAGCUACCCUGGGAUAACAGGCUUAUCACUCCCAAGAGUUCACAUCGACGGAGUGGUUUGGCACCUCGAUGUCGGCUCAUCGCAUCCUGGGGCUGAAGUAGGUCCCAAGGGUUGGGCUGUUCGCCCAUUAAAGCGGUACGCGAGCUGGGUUCAGAACGUCGUGAGACAGUUCGGUCCCUAUCCGGCGUGGGCGUAGGAUAUUUGAGAGGAGCUGUCCUUAGUACGAGAGGACCGGGAUGGACUGGCCGCUGGUGUAUCUGUUGCAUACCAAAUGCAUGGCAGAGUAGCCAAGCCGGGACGGGAUAAACGCUGAAGGCAUCUAAGCGUGAAGCCCCCCUCAAGAUGAGAUAUCCCUACGUAAGUAGUAAGACCCCUUGAAGACGACGAGGUAGAUAGGUCAGAGGUGGAAGUACAGUAAUGUAUGGAGCUGACUGAUACUAAUCGGUCGAGGGCAUGA
Molecule: ribosomal RNA, 1612 nt
Filed under: metagenome
Description: bacterial LSU rRNA
Rfam family: Bacterial large subunit ribosomal RNA
Source: RNAcentral